AGAUAAAUUUCAGUUCAUAUAUAAUUAGUCUCAGUGAGAAAGCAUGUGGAGUAAGUAUUUUUUCCAUCUUAUCUAGAAGGCCUUGGGGAGUAGAGUUUUAUAGACAAGGAUGGGUACCUAUCAUCUGAGAGAAUGCGCAUCAUUUGUUGAAGAACAAUGGCCGUGAGGGUAUGCUUUGGCUAUUAAAGAGUAACAACUCAUAUAUUCUGGAGUUUGUUGAUCGAGAUUACAGAUCUCACUAAGUAGAGCAGUAAAAUAGCUGGCUGCUUAUUAUCUAGCGAAUAGAAAACUAUAGAUCUCCUCCAGCACGAUUGGAAAAGAUCAGGUGAUAAAGG
This 335-nucleotide long non-coding RNA is filed under the name Elaeis guineensis (African oil palm). RNAcentral describes it as "long non-coding RNA (EGUI_LNC017519)". Lineage: Eukaryota; Viridiplantae; Streptophyta; Magnoliopsida; Arecales; Arecaceae. The record is from RNAcentral.